GCAUUGGUGAUUCAGUGGUAGAUCUCUCCUCUUCCAUGUGGGAGACCCGGGUUCGAUUCCUGGCCAACGCA
Molecule: transfer RNA, 71 nt
Filed under: Loxodonta africana (African savanna elephant)
Lineage: Eukaryota; Metazoa; Chordata; Mammalia; Proboscidea; Elephantidae
Rfam family: tRNA
About the family: Transfer RNA (tRNA) molecules are approximately 80 nucleotides in length.
Source: Rfam by way of RNAcentral